Molecule: RNA transcript, 3589 nt
Organism: Tribolium madens (black flour beetle)
Lineage: Eukaryota; Metazoa; Arthropoda; Insecta; Coleoptera; Tenebrionidae
Gene name: zinc finger protein 354A-like
Exons: 7
Source: RefSeq, a predicted model, not a curated record
CUUGAUUCGAAGCCGGGUCGGAGCGCCAACAGUGAGAUGCACCCCUAGGAGUUAGGGCGUCACGUGCCAUUUUCGCGACUAUUUGGCAGUUCCGGGUUCGGCGCCCUCGAGUCACCGCCGCGAUAAUACUCUCGAUGAUCUUCUUCUCAAAGACGACACAUGCCCAAGUGCCACUUCCUGCUGGUGACCAUUAAACCAGUGCUCAGUGUUACAGUUGGCGUUGCUGAAACUUAGUGCGUUCCACGCAUUGCAUAAUCAAUGACAGAAAGUGUUGAUCGGCGUGCAGAGAGAUGGGAAGCGAGCAUUACUGUUUGAGGUGGAAUAAUCAUCAAAGCAAUUUACUCGGGGUGUUCAGUCAACUGCUCCGUGACGAAAGUCUAGUAGACGUAACCCUGGCCUGCUCGGAGGGCCAUUCGAUUCGAGCUCACAAAGUCGUCCUUUCUGCCUGUUCCUCCUAUUUCCAGACGCUCUUCGUCGAUCAUCCCAGUCGUCAUCCGAUCGUCAUUCUCAAAGACGUCCGCUUUGCGGAACUUAGGACACUCAUCGAAUUCAUGUACAAGGGCGAAGUCAACGUCGAAUACUGCCAACUGUCGGCCCUCCUCAAGACGGCGGAGAGUCUCAAAGUUAAGGGGCUCGCCGAAAUGACCAGGGAAUAUAAACACACGGAACCGGAGCAAACGGAGCCCACGGAACUAACCCGGAGGCCGGCGUCUCACUCUCCGUCGGUGGACGAGAAUGACCGCCUCCAUCCCUCGUCGCAGUCGCCACCCGUACAAAAUCUAAGGGUGUGUCGGUCGCCCAUCGACCAUCAAGAGAACGAAGCGAAAAGGCCGUCGUCACCGGAAAACACCCGGAAUGUCAGUUCGCCGGUAACAAGCGAUUGCGGUCCAAGCGACAUGUCAAUUCACAGUAAUAGCAACAAUAUGGUGGCGGCGUGUCCGGGGAUGAACGCCCCGAUUAUAUGCACGAGGUUACCGUCGCCGAUCACUGAACCUCUUCCCGGACCCUCCAAUAUGCCACCAGUUCAACAAGUGCCUCUGAGCCUCAAGAAGGAAGUUGACUGGAGCGGAGGUCUAGAAGACAAAAAUACAGGAGAGAGUUCAUCAGACUUUUCGAGACACCCCCACGAUUCUACCUCCGUGGACAUUGACCGGCCCUCCAGCUCGCCCCACGAACGCCCCUCCAGCACCCAAAGCAGCCGUUCGUCCACCCCAUUCGCCCUCCCCUUUCCCUCUCUCCCCACCUCAAUCCUGGAAGUGGGCCUCAUCCACCCGUCCCUCCUCGGCGAGGAGAUGUUCCGUUGUCCGUCGUGCAUGGCCGCCUUCCCCUCCAUCUGGCUUUUAGAGCAACACACCGCCCUUCAGCACAUCGGCUCCCUCAACUCCUUAGAAAAGCCCUUUAUUUGUGAGCAGUGUGGCCAGAGCUACAGGUACCGAUCGGCCUAUGUCAAACACCGGGAGCAGAACCAUAGGGCACGUCUCCCAGCCGAUAAACUCUUCUCCUGUGACGUCUGCGGGAUGCAGUUUAGGUACCUUAAGUCGUUCAAAAAGCACAGAUUGAACCACGCUUUGGAGAAGUUGCAUGGGAAGAGUGGGGAUGUGGGGAGGGUAGGGGCGGUGGAGGAGUCCAAGAGUGUGGAUAACAGCAGCGAUCAGGUGUCGAGCUCAAACGAGACCAUUGUUUUGGAGGGGAAGGACGAGGGGGUGGUGGUCAAAAAGGAGGAGAGUAUGAACGAUGAUGCUGGUGAGGGUGCGUCAUCGGACGCCGAGAAACCCGACGCCGACCAGGACGACACCAUCGACUCCAUGGCCGUCUCGUACCCCGUUUCGUCCGGCACCGGUCUGGACAUCCUCCGGAGCAGCCACGACCCCUCCAUCAUCAGUUUUUUACGCGCCGAUGCCGCUGAAAAGCAACGCGAGCGCCGUUUCGCGUGCCCCUUUUGCGGCAAAUGCGUCCGCUCCAAGGAGAAUCUGAAACUCCACGUGCGAAAGCACACCGGCGAACGGCCCUUCGUGUGUUUAUUCUGCGGACGUGCCUUCGGCGGAAAGAGCGACCUGACACGCCAUCUACGCAUCCACACUGGCGAAAGACCCUACCAUUGCGACAUGUGCGGGAAGUGUUUCGCGCGUGCUGAUUACCUCUCCAAGCACUUGACCACACAUAUUAACACUUCCCGCUGAUAGUACUGGCAAAAAGGGGCGCGUGGUGACAUCUAGGCUGCCGGAACACAACUGCCAAUCACGCGUUGCCACGAACGGUUUUUGGUUGGUAUUUGUCCACAAAUGAAUGUUUUCCGUCCUUGCAUUUUUGUUUUGAUGGCUGUGAAUUUGAAAGUGUUAUAGUUUUUUAACUUGGUCGAGAAGCGUUUAGUUAUCGCGCAUAUUUUGGGAGAAUAUGUGCCAUCCCUAAACUAGCCAUUAGAUGACGUAAGCGAUAUUAGUGAGCUAGCAAUUAAAGCAAUAUUUAGUGAAAACAGAUGAUAAAUAAUUUGGGGAAAAAUCGGGUUGAUCGUUCCUUCUAGUCAUGACGGUAGUUAACUGCUGUGGCCUUGUUCCAGUAUUAAUGUCCACAAAAAUGAUAACUUUGUACACGGAAACAUCGAAUAUGAAUCUUAUAACUGAUUUAAGUAUAACUGAUGGUUUAUUAUGUAGUUUUGUGCCAAUUCGAUGUACCUCAUGACAUUCUGUGUUUAGAUGGUGUUAAAAUAUUUACAAUGUAAUUAAGCUAAACGUUUCUUUUCAUAGUGUAUAAAUUAAAUGUUUAACAUCGAAUUUCUACAGAAUUAUUUUUUUAUACGCACUAUACAACAAGACGAUGUCCAUUAAUCCGUAUUGCCAAGAAUUAUUUUUUAUACAUGUAAUAGAUAAGUUUCGACGAUGCUCAAUACAAUCACAUCAAUAAGUACCUAAUGGCCAUAAUACUGAUGUUAAACAUUUAGCCACUUUUUUUAUACCUCUAACUUUUAAAAUACUUUAGGACAAUUUUACAUCUUGUAAAUGUUGAUGGUGCCUUUUCAAAUAUUUUAUUGAUGAAAAUUCAUUUUUAUCUCAGCUACGUCACUCAUAUUUUACCGGAAUGUCUCAAACAAGAUUUUAUUUAUGUCUUUCACAAAUGAAAUAUUUGCUGUGAUAAUAACGAAUCAACUCUUUUCAAACACCACCACAUUACAAUUCGGUUGCAUCUUCUUGUAAAAAUGUUUUUUCAUCCUGAAAUUUGUACAACUUUGUCCUAAAGUAGGCAUACUUUGAUCAUUAAAAUAGUUAUAUAAAUAAAUGUUCCUAAUAAAUGUGAUUAGGUGUUAUCGACUAUGUAUAUUGUUAUUGUCAUAUUCUAUAUUGAAACAAGAAUUUUAUUUGGAAAACUGUCCAAAAAACGAGUCAAAUGAUGCAAAGGAGGGGCAUAGACUUAAUCUCUAAAAUAAUAAUUGUGAAAAUUAAAUGUUUCUCUCGAUGUACGUCUAUACCUAUGCUACAUUAUCUCAUAGUUUUCAAUGGUUACUUUUUAAUAUAAUUUAUUUCAAUAGUUAUUAUUAUACAAAAUAAAUGUAAUUUUUUUCUAUUCGUUCAUUAAAAGGGAAAAGUUUUGUUCA